AUACGUAGGGAGCGAGCGUUGUCCGGAAUUACUGGGUGUAAAGGGAGCGUAGGCGGGAUGGCAAGUCAGAUGUGAAAACUAUGGGCUCAACCCAUAGACUGCAUUUGAAACUGUUGUUCUUGAGUGAAGUAGAGGUAAGCGGAAUUCCUGGUGUAGCGGUGAAAUGCGUAGAUAUCAGGAGGAACAUCGGUGGCGAAGGCGGCUUACUGGGCUUUUACUGACGCUGAGGCUCGAAAGCGUGGGGAGCAAACAGGAUUGGAUACCCUGGUAGUCCACGCCCUAAACGAUGAAUACUAGGUGUGGGGGGACUGACCCCCUCCGUGUCGGAGUAAACACAAUAAGUAUUCCACCUGGGGAGUACGACCGCAAGGUUGAAACUCAAAGGAAUUGACGGGG
This 396-nucleotide ribosomal RNA is filed under the name uncultured bacterium. Its description in RNAcentral is "partial 16S ribosomal RNA". It matches the Rfam family "Bacterial small subunit ribosomal RNA", at positions 523 to 918 of the family's 1533-position model. The record is from RNAcentral.